UGGCUUCAACAGAUUUGGAUUCACUUGCUUUGUUGGUGGUCUUGAUCAUGACACUAGUGAGGAUGAUCUAAAGAAGAUCUUUUCAAAGUUUGGCAACGUUAACAAUUCACAAGUUAUUUACCAUCAUGUGACUGGAAAAUCAAGAAGAUUCGGAUUUGUUACAUUCGAGGAGGAAGAGAUCCAUGAGAGAUGCCAUUAAAGAAAUGAACAGGAAGUUAACAUUCGGAUUUGUUAUGUUAAUAUUAUGUUUUGAUAUCAACUUUGCAUAUACUAUACAUGUAAUUUAUGAUAAGGAGACAGGAAGUUCUCGAGGAUUUGGUUUUGUUACUUUCAAAGACGAGAAAUCAUUGGAAGGUGCAAUACUGUUUAAGAACGGUGAUGAGAUCGACGGUUCUCAAAUCAACGUGGAAGAGUCUUGCACCAGAUGUGUUAUUGUACGUUCCUUCACUGUGAAAGUGGCACGGCCACGCAGACUAUCCAGAUCUGAUGAGUUUGUACAAGAGUUUGUAAGGAUGAUACAAGAAAAGGAGAAGAAGCAGAUGGCCGGAUUAAUAUGAGAGGAUGAUGAUAAAUGUUAUGUAGAAUCAUAUCUUUUUAAAGUUGGUUAUUUUGCUCCCAGACCUUCUUUACAACUCUGGAACAAAGAUUUCAUUUGCCAUCCUAUAGAAGAAUAUAAGCUAUGAUGAGCAUGAGCAUGAUCAUGUAAUGUUGUUGCAAUAUCUAUAAGAAAUUCACAGCAAAAGGAUAAGAGUCAA
Capsella rubella is the source of this 755-nucleotide long non-coding RNA. RefSeq lists it as uncharacterized. The record is from RefSeq and is a predicted model, not a curated record. NCBI's taxonomy places the organism in Eukaryota, Viridiplantae, Streptophyta, Magnoliopsida, Brassicales, Brassicaceae. The transcript is spliced from 2 exons.